Molecule: ribosomal RNA, 237 nt
Filed under: uncultured bacterium
Lineage: Bacteria
Description: partial 16S ribosomal RNA
Rfam family: Bacterial small subunit ribosomal RNA
Source: RNAcentral
CGAACGGGUGAGUAACGCGUGAGGAACCUGCCUCAAAGAGGGGGACAACAGUUGGAAACGACUGCUAAUACCGCAUAAGCCCACGGCUCGGCAUCGAGCAGAGGGAAAAGGAGCAAUCCGCUUUGAGAUGGCCUCGCGUCCGAUUAGCUAGUUAGUGAGGUAACGGCCCACCAAGGCGACGAUCGGUAGCCGGACUGGGAGGUUGAACGGCCACAUUGGGACUGAGACACGGCCCAG